This 400-nucleotide ribosomal RNA is filed under the name uncultured bacterium. RNAcentral describes it as "bacterial SSU rRNA". It matches the Rfam family "Bacterial small subunit ribosomal RNA", at positions 355 to 768 of the family's 1533-position model. The record is from RNAcentral.
UCGAGAAUCUUCCACAAUGGACGAAAGUCUGAUGGAGCGACAUCGCGUGACUGAUGAAGGGCUUCGGUUUGUAAAGGUCUUUUAUGAGAGAAGAAGUUUAUUGACGGUAUCUCAUGAAUAAGGGGUUGCUAAACUCGUGCCAGCAGCAGCGGUAAUACGAGUACCCCAAGCGUUAUCCGGAUUUAUUGGGCGUAAAGGGUAAGUAGGUGGUCUAAUUAGUCGAAUGUCAAAGCCAGGGGCUUAACCUCUGAUCCGCAUUCGAAACGGUUAGACUUGAGGUUGCGAGAGGUGUACGGAACUCAUAGUGUAGGGGUGAAAUCCGUUGAUAUUAUGGGGAACACCAAAAGCGAAGGCAGUACACUGGCGCACACCUGACACUGAAUUACGAAAGCGUGGGUAG